AGAGUUUGAUCCUGGCUCAGGACGAACGCUGGCGGCGUGCUUAACACAUGCAAGUCGAACGAGGAUUCAGGAGAGCUUGCUCUCCGAAGAUCCGAGUGGCGGACGGGUGAGUAACGCGUGGGCAAUCUGCCCGUAAGAGGGGGAUAACACCGAGAAAUUGGUGCUAAUACCGCAUAACAUCAUUGGGCUGCAUAACCUGGUGAUCAAAGGAGUAAUCCGCUUACGGAUGAGCCCGCGUCUGAUUAGCUAGUUGGUGGGGUAACGGCCUACCAAGGCGACGAUCAGUAGCCGGCCUGAGAGGGUGACCGGCCACACUGGAACUGAGACACGGUCCAGACUCCUACGGGAGGCAGCAGUGGGGAAUCUUCCGCAAUGGGCGAAAGCCUGACGGAGCAACGCCGCGUGAGUGAUGAAGGCCUUCGGGUUGUAAAACUCUGUCUUCAGGGAAGAAACAAAUGACGGUACCUGAGGAGGAAGCCACGGCUAACUACGUGCCAGCAGCCGCGGUAAUACGUAGGUGGCAAGCGUUGUCCGGAAUUACUGGGCGUAAAGAGCGCGUAGGCGGGGAUUUAAGUCAGGAGUGAAAACUGGGGGCUCAACCUCCAGCCUGCUCUUGAAACUGAAUCUCUUGAGGGUAUGAGAGGAAAGCGGAAUUCCCAGUGUAGCGGUGAAAUGCGUAGAUAUUGGGAGGAACACCAGUGGCGAAGGCGGCUUUCUGGCAUACAACUGACGCUGAGGCGCGAAAGCGUGGGGAGCAAACGGGAUUAGAUACCCCGGUAGUCCACGCCGUAAACGAUGGGCACUAGGUGUAGGAGGUAUCGACCCCUUCUGUGCCGUAGUUAACACAAUAAGUGCCCCGCCUGGGGAGUACGGCCGCAAGGUUGAAACUCAAAGGAAUUGACGG
RNAcentral lists this ribosomal RNA (904 nucleotides) under uncultured bacterium. RNAcentral describes it as "bacterial SSU rRNA". It matches the Rfam family "Bacterial small subunit ribosomal RNA", at positions 8 to 916 of the family's 1533-position model. The record is from RNAcentral.